GCUGGUGGCUCAGUGGUUAAGAGCUUGGCUGCUAACCAAAAGGUUGGUGGUUUGAACCCUUCAACAGCU
This 69-nucleotide transfer RNA is filed under the name Loxodonta africana (African savanna elephant). It matches the Rfam family "tRNA". From Rfam's summary of the family: Transfer RNA (tRNA) molecules are approximately 80 nucleotides in length. Their secondary structure includes four short double-helical elements and three loops (D, anti-codon, and T loops). Further hydrogen bonds mediate the characteristic L-shaped molecular structure. tRNAs have two regions of fundamental functional importance: the anti-codon, which is responsible for specific mRNA codon recognition, and the 3' end, to which the tRNAs corresponding amino acid is attached (by aminoacyl-tRNA synthetases). tRNAs cope with the degeneracy of the genetic code in two manners: having more than one tRNA (with a specific anti-codon) for a particular amino acid; and 'wobble' base-pairing, i.e. permitting non-standard base-pairing at the 3rd anti-codon position. The record is from Rfam by way of RNAcentral. Lineage: Eukaryota; Metazoa; Chordata; Mammalia; Proboscidea; Elephantidae.